GGAAGUAAAAGUAGUAACAAGGUCUCCGUAGGUGAACCUGCGGAGGGAUCAUUACAGAGUUCGUGCCCUCACGGGUAGAUCUCCCACCCUGUGUUAUUAUACCUUUGUUGCUUUGGCGGGCCGCCCUCGGCUACCGGCCCCGGCUGGUACGCGCCCGCCAGAGGACCCCAAACUCUGAAUGUUAGUGUCGUCUGAGUACUAUACAAUAGUUAAAACUUUCAACAACGGAUCUCUUGGUUCUG
Molecule: unclassified non-coding RNA, 242 nt
Filed under: plant metagenome
Description: partial contains small subunit ribosomal RNA, internal transcribed spacer 1, and 5.8S ribosomal RNA
Rfam family: Eukaryotic small subunit ribosomal RNA (bases 1-54)
Source: RNAcentral